AUGUCCAUCUCCCGGCAAGCUUUCACCGGCGGUGUCUCGUCGCGUGGAUUUCUGCUGCACCCGUGGUUGCAAGGCCACGAAAUCCCCAUCCUGGUGGAUUCGGCUAGCUCCACGUCUUUCGUCGAUCAACAACUCGCUGUAGAGCUUGUGGCAUCGUCCCUCUGCUUCAACUGGGCGCGUGAAAGUUGCAGGCGGAGGCGGGAUCACAUGAUCAAACAGCACCCCCAUCGACCAACAAAAGGUCAUUACAUCAACGCAGAAGCAAAAGCAGCAAAAAAGGAGCCAAAGAUCUAUUCUACAGGAGCACCAAACAUCAGGUUCACCACCGCAGGAGAGACUUUCUUCAUUCAUUCAUUUCAAUCUAACCACAUUGAUCCUCCAUCCCUGCUUGGCUGUGAACAUUUUAUUUGCUGCCUGCUCUAG
Molecule: ribosomal RNA, 423 nt
Filed under: Triticum aestivum (bread wheat)
Lineage: Eukaryota; Viridiplantae; Streptophyta; Magnoliopsida; Poales; Poaceae
Description: partial small subunit ribosomal RNA
Source: RNAcentral